UGAGGAAUAUUGGACAAUGGUCGGAAGACUGAUCCAGCCAUGCCGCGUGAAGGUUACGGUCCUAUGGAUUUUAAACUUCUUUUAUGCGGGAGCAAUAAGGUGCACGUGUGCAUCGAUGAGAGUACCUCAUGAAUAAGCAUCGGCUAACUCCGUGCCAGCAGCCGCGGUAAUACGGAGGAUGCAAGCGUUAUCCGGAUUUAUUGGGUUUAAAGGGUGCGUAGGCGGAAUUAUAAGUCAGCGGUGAAAUUCACAGGCUCAACCUGUGCCGUGCCGUUGAAACUGUAACUCUAGAAUACGGAUGCUGUGGGAGGAAUGUGUAGUGUAGCGGUGAAAUGCAUAGAUAUUACACAGAACACCGAUUGCGAAGGCAUCUCACAAAGUCGUCAUUGACGCUGAGGCACGAAAGUGUGGGGAUCAAACAGG
This 423-nucleotide ribosomal RNA is filed under the name uncultured bacterium. Its description in RNAcentral is "bacterial SSU rRNA". It matches the Rfam family "Bacterial small subunit ribosomal RNA", at positions 355 to 776 of the family's 1533-position model. The record is from RNAcentral.